This 200-nucleotide unclassified non-coding RNA is filed under the name soil metagenome. RNAcentral describes it as "partial contains internal transcribed spacer 2 and large subunit ribosomal RNA". The record is from RNAcentral.
AGCGUCAUUAUCAACCAUCAAGCCUGGCUUGUCGUUGGACUCUGGUCGUUAAAAAGACCGGUCCAAAGAUAAUGGACGGGACCUGUCGGCCCUAGAUGCAACGAGCUUCACAGCACGCAUCGAAAAGUCGCCGGCCCCGCCUUUAAACCCCAUUUUCUUAGGUUGACCUCGGAUCAGGUAGGAAUACCCGCUGAACUUAA